This 87-nucleotide ribosomal RNA is filed under the name Phlebotomus duboscqi. RNAcentral describes it as "partial 28S ribosomal RNA". It matches the Rfam family "Eukaryotic large subunit ribosomal RNA", at positions 1 to 85 of the family's 3401-position model. Lineage: Eukaryota; Metazoa; Arthropoda; Insecta; Diptera; Psychodidae. The record is from RNAcentral.
UGCGAUCUCAACUCAUACGUGACUACCCCCUUAAUUUAAGCAUAUUAAUAAGCGGAGGAAAAGAAACUAACCAGGAAGGGCGAAUUC